GACGAACGCUGGCGGCGUGCUUAACACAUGCAAGUCGAACGGGCCUUGUCCCCUUUUUUUUUGGGGGUGGGGUUAGUGGCGAACGGGUGAGUAACACGUGAGUAACCUGCCCCUCACUUCUGGAUAACCGCUUGAAAGGGUGGCUAAUACGGGGUGUUCUGGCCUGCUCGCAUGGGUGGGUUUGGAAAGAUUCGACCGGUUUUGGUUGUUUUGGUGGGGGAUGGGCUCGCGGCCUAUCAGCUUGUUGGUGGGGUGAUGGCCUGCCAAGGCUUUGACGGGUAGCCUGCCUGAGAGGGUGAGCGGUCACACUGGGACUGAGACGCGGCCCAGACUCCUACGGGAGGCAGCAGUGGGGAAUAUUGCACAAUGGGCGCAAGCCUGAUGCAGCGACGCCGCGUGAGGGAUGGAGGCCUUCGGGUUGUGAACCUCUUUCGCCAGUGAAGAAGGUCCUGCUCUUUGUGGUGGGGUUGACGGUAGCUGGGUUAAUGAAGCGCCGGCUAACUACGUG
Molecule: ribosomal RNA, 508 nt
Filed under: uncultured bacterium
Lineage: Bacteria
Description: partial 16S ribosomal RNA
Rfam family: Bacterial small subunit ribosomal RNA
Source: RNAcentral